This 422-nucleotide ribosomal RNA is filed under the name uncultured archaeon. Its description in RNAcentral is "partial 16S ribosomal RNA". It matches the Rfam family "Archaeal small subunit ribosomal RNA", at positions 323 to 746 of the family's 1478-position model. The record is from RNAcentral.
CUACGGGGUGCAGCAGCUAAGUAUCUUUUGCAAUGCGCGAAAGCGUGACAGAGCGAACCAAAGUGUUCUUCUACUUGAAGAACUUUUGUCUAGUGCAAAAAGCUAGACGAAUAAGGACUGGGUAAGACUGGUGCCAGCCGCCGCGGUGAUACCAGCGGUCCAAGUCGCAGCCACAUUUAUUGGGUAUAAAACAUCCGUAGCUUGCUUUGUAAGCUUCUUGUGAAAUCUCAUAUCUCAAGUAUGAGGCGGGCAAGAAAUACUGCUUGGCUAGAGACCGGAAGACGCAAAGAGUACGGCCGAGGUAAUGGUAAAAUAUGUUAAUCUCGGUUGGACUAACAAUAGCGAAGGCACUUUGCGAGGACGGUUCUGACAGUGAGGGAUGAAGGCUAGGGGCGCGAAAAGGAUUAGAUACCCCCGUAGUC